AUGGGGUUUCACCAUGUUGCCCAGGAGUUUGAGACCAGCCUGGGCAACAUGGUGAAAUCCCGU
Molecule: microRNA precursor, 63 nt
Organism: Pan troglodytes (chimpanzee)
Lineage: Eukaryota; Metazoa; Chordata; Mammalia; Primates; Hominidae
Rfam family: mir-1285 microRNA precursor family
Source: Rfam